ACGGAAGGCAGCAGCUAAGAAUAUUCCGCAAUGGACGAAAGUCUGACGGAGCGACGCCGCGUGGAUGAUGAAGGUCGGAAGAUUGUAAAAUCCUUUUAUAACUGAGGAAUAAGCAGUGUGAGAGAAACGCAUUGCGGUGACUGUAGGUUAUGAAUAAGCAACGGCUAAUUACGUGCCAGCAGCCGCGGUAACACGUAAGUUGCGAGCGUUGUUCGGAAUUAUUGGGCGUAAAGGGCAUGUAGGCGGUUUUGCAAGCUUGAUGUGAAAGGCAGGCGCUUAACACCUAGACUGCGUUGCGAAAUGCAUGACUAGCGUCACUGAGGCGCAAUCAAAAUUCCUGGUGUAGGGGUGAAAUCUGUAGAUAUCAGGAAGAAUACCCAUGGCGAAGGCAGGUUACCAGCAGAUGAAUAACGCUGAGGUGAGAAGAUGCGGGGAGCAAACAGGAUUAGAUACCCUGGUA
This 460-nucleotide ribosomal RNA is filed under the name uncultured Treponema sp. RNAcentral describes it as "partial 16S ribosomal RNA". It matches the Rfam family "Bacterial small subunit ribosomal RNA", at positions 341 to 792 of the family's 1533-position model. The record is from RNAcentral. Lineage: Bacteria; Pseudomonadati; Spirochaetota; Spirochaetia; Treponematales; Treponemataceae.